RNAcentral lists this ribosomal RNA (550 nucleotides) under uncultured archaeon. RNAcentral's name for it is "bacterial SSU rRNA". It matches the Rfam family "Archaeal small subunit ribosomal RNA", at positions 6 to 562 of the family's 1478-position model. The record is from RNAcentral.
GAUUGAUCCUGCCGGACCUGACUGCUAUCGGAUUGGUACUAAGCCAUGCGAGUCGUUGUAGCAUACAAGGCGGACUGCUCAGUAACACGUAGUUAACUUAACCUAUGGAUGGGAAUAACCUCGGGAAACUGAGAAUAAUACCCAAUGGGCCACAGUGCCUGGAAUGGCCUGUGGUUGAAAUGAUUUAUCGCCGUAGGAUAGGACUGCGGCCUAUCAGCUUGUUGGUGAGGUAAUGGCCCACCAAGGCUAUAACAGGUACGGGCUCUGAGAGGAGGGGCCCGGAGAUGGGUACUGAGACACGGACCCAGGCCCUAUGGGGCGCAGCAGGCGAGAAACCUUUGCAAUGUGCGAAAGCACGACAAGGUUAAUCCGAGUGUCUCCUGCUAAAGGAGUCUUUUGUCAGUUGUAGAAUCACUGGUGAAUAAGGGGUGGGCAAGUUCUGGUGUCAGCCGCCGCGGUAAAACCAGCACCUCGAGUGGUCAGGAGGUUUAUUGGGCCUAAAGCAUACGUAGCCGGUUGCAUAAGUUUCCGGUUAAAUCUAUGCGCUUNA